Molecule: ribosomal RNA, 253 nt
Filed under: uncultured bacterium
Lineage: Bacteria
Description: partial 16S ribosomal RNA
Rfam family: Bacterial small subunit ribosomal RNA
Source: RNAcentral
UACGUAGGGUGCAAGCGUUGCUCGGAAUGACUGGGCGUAAAGGGCGCGUAGGCGGCCCUCUAAGUCAGACGUGAAAUCCCCGGGCUCAACCCGGGAACUGCGUCUGAUACUGGAGGGCUUGAAUCCGGGAGAGGGAUGUGGAAUUCCAGGUGUAGCGGUGAAAUGCGUAGAUAUCUGGAGGAACACCGGUGGUGAAGGCGGCAUCCUGGACCGGUAUUGACGCUGAGGCGCGAAAGCCAGGGGAGCAAACGGG